GUGACUAUGUAGGAGGGUGGUGGUGACGAAGGGGUCGACGAGGGGUGGAGGCGGAGGGCUAGCCAGCGAGAACGUCCGAGAGAGGGUUGGUGGCUCGCUACACGGCAUCGGCAUACGGAGGUUUGGCCGGUGGUGUUGGGGGGGUCGGUGUAUGGCGGCCGAUAGAAGCGGCGAAGAGGUGAGGUGGGGGUGCUCAGCACGGGGCCACGGCGCAGUUGCUACUCAGACACGGGGAUGCUCGCAAUGCCUCUAUCAAAGACGCGUCGCACUGUGUUGUUAUGUGUUGUCAUAGUUAUUUCAUUGAAAAAUUAAUUUCACCGUUUUCGAAACUUGCACCGAUUUCUGUCUGUGAAACACAAAGUCUGAACAACUCCUCUUAAGUUUUGCCGAACCCAAAAAUAGAAAAAAGGAAAAAAGAACAAAAAAAAGAAAAAGAUUAAGCAAAAAAAAAAAAAGAAAAAAAAAAAGGAAAAAGAGACUAGACUCGAUUAUUUAGAAAACUUACUUUCGAACGUGCUUCGUUUCAAAAUUACGACGAAUAAGAAGACGACGAGGAAGAAAAAAAGAAGAAAUAGGAAACCAAGAAAAAAUACGAAAAAAGCACAAAAAAAAGAGAAGAAACGAAAUUUAAAACAAAAGCAUUGCCUUAAGGAAGAAGGAGAGUAAUUACUACCUACACCGUCGAAGGAACAAACGAGAGACAAAGGGGGGAUAAAAAAAGGAAACAAAAAAAAACACUUUAGACGUCUACAAAGUAAAUUGUAAAGAAAUGACUAAAGUAUAUUUUUAACAAGUUUUGAGAAAACUUUAGAUUUUAAACGUAAAUUUUAAAAGCGAAAAAUGAAAAAAAAUCAUAAAAUUCUUAAUAAUUAAAAAUGUGAUCUAAAAGUCGUUGCUGCCAAGAGAAGCCUUAUGUCCUUGUUUCAAUUAGUUCGGUUCCAAACCUUCGAGCGGGAGACGCGUUACUGCGAGAAAUUCCCGCGCAGGAGAGGAAGACUGGACAAAGCGGAAGAAGCAGAAUAGGACGAGCAAAGCGGAAGAAGCAGAGGAGUGCGAGUGCGGAAAAAGAAGAAGAGCAAAAGAGAAGUGGAGCGAUUAUAAUAAGCGGGGUUUGGAGUUGUAGUGAUCGGCAACGAAUAUCGAAAUAAAGAGAGAGAGAAAGAGAGAGAGAAGGAGAGAAAUUUGAAGAACAUACAGAGAUAAAAGAAGAAGAAGAAGAAGGUGUCGAAAGAAUCGAGAAGAACGAUAUAGAAACAGCGGGAGAAAGAGAAAGAGAAAGAGGAAGAGAGAGAGAGAGAGAGAGAUAGAAGAUUACGGAAGAAAGAACGUGGAAAGAUAUCGACAGGAAGCUCCAAUAUAAAACCCCGCGCCGCAUACAUAUAUAUUUCAGUGUGUUCAAAAAACGAGUGUACCUAAGUGCAAUAUUAAUUAAACCUAAACGAUAAUAAGAAGCAACCACAACUACUAUCGACGAUAUCGGUAACGACGAGCGGUUAAUCGAUUAUCGAAAUAGAAUUCCUUUUAAAGAGUUAAAGAGAAACGCUAGAGUCGCAUUUCGAGGAGGAGUCGUCGACGCGCGCGAGCCAAACUGGCAAAAGAGGAAGAGGCUCGAAAGUUUCGACCGCACACAACCGAAUAACGAAAAGCGGCGGAAAGCGCUUUUAAAUAAAUAAAAAGAUAAAAACAAAAGUAAAGAGGAGAAAACAAAAAAAAAAAAAAGAAGAAUUUGAAGAUAGUGCACUCAGAGAAACGCACAGAAACACGGAGUGACGGAAAUCAACAAGGAGGACAAAGUUUCCCUCUCGUCCCGGUUACAACUUAAAAAAAGACUCAUACGAAAAAUUAUACACGCACACACACACACACACACAUCAAACAUUUAACGGGGCUAAUACUCAGGGCAAAACGGGACGAGCAGUGACUUUAUCCAUCAGUGUGAUUUCUUACACACCGGUGUAAAGAAUUAAAAGCGGAGAAACCUUCGACCGAAUCCUGAUCGCGUAAAAGCGUGGACUAUACUUCCUCGCUUACACCGUCCGGGCUGGGCAAUCCUGAAUUUUAACCUGAACUUAAGUGUACGCUAGAUUUUAAGUUAGAUAGACAAAAGAAAAACUAGGCUGUUCUCCUUACUUGGAGUACAUCCAUUCGCGCGCGCAUCAAAGAAGUUAAAAGAGAGACAGACAGAUAAAAGUAAUACAUACACAACAGAAACACACACACUAACAUAAAAAAAAAUUACCACACGAACACGGGAGAACACGACACCCUCCUACGCACAACGUCAAAACAGACAAAAAGUAAAAGAAGAAAAGAGAGAUCAAGCGAACCGACAGACGGGCAUCUGUCGAGACGAGAAAGUAAAAGUAUAAUAUCAACGUAAAUACGUAUCGGCGAAUCAGAUCUAAUUCGCGAAGUGACUGGAGCGAAUUCGUAUCACGGCUACGAGAGAAUUGAGAAGAAGCAGCAACAGAAUAAGAAUAAGAAUAA
Molecule: long non-coding RNA, 2487 nt
Organism: Polistes canadensis
Lineage: Eukaryota; Metazoa; Arthropoda; Insecta; Hymenoptera; Vespidae
Exons: 3
Source: RefSeq, a predicted model, not a curated record